AACUUUUGACAACGAAUCACUUGGCUCUGGCAUCGAUGAAGAACGCAGCGAAAUGCGAUAAGUAAUGUGAAUUGCAGAAUUCAGUGAAUCAUCGAAUCUUUGAACGCACAUUGCGCCCGCCAGUAUUCUGGCGGGCAUGCCUGUUCGAGCGUCAUUUCAACCCUCAAGCCCCAGCCGGCUUGGUGUUGGGGACCGGCCCCGGCCGCCCCCCAAAUGCAGUGGCGACCUCGCCGCAGCCUCCCCUGCGUAGUAGCACAACCUCGCACCGGAGCGCGGAGACGGUCACGCCGUAAAACGCCCAACUUCUCAGAGUUGACCUCGGAUCAGGUAGGAAUACCCGCUGAACUUAAGCAUAUCAAUAAGCGGAGGCU
Molecule: unclassified non-coding RNA, 371 nt
Filed under: uncultured Tolypocladium
Lineage: Eukaryota; Fungi; Ascomycota; Sordariomycetes; Hypocreales; Clavicipitaceae
Description: sequence contains ITS2
Rfam family: 5.8S ribosomal RNA (bases 1-154)
Source: RNAcentral